This is a long non-coding RNA of Homo sapiens (human), 505 nucleotides long. Ensembl annotates it as long intergenic non-protein coding RNA 1491. NCBI's taxonomy places the organism in Eukaryota, Metazoa, Chordata, Mammalia, Primates, Hominidae. The record is from Ensembl.
CUGUGCUCCACUAGUCCUAGCUGGAUCGUGGACAUAUUACCAUCAUUACAAAUAUCAAUAGUUUGUGAUUACUUCAAACAAUCUGAAGUUGAAGGACCCCAGAUAUCCUUCAAAACAGGAAUCUGCAGGCAGAUGCUGAAACCAUGAAUACAGAGGGACAACUAUGUCCACAAGAUAUAAUGCUGAGAAAGGCUAAUAAAUCAAGCCAAUCUAAUGUCUAAAUACAGAAUAGAAAAAUGUGUCUUCUAAUUUACUUUAAAAUGAUGACUGGAUGAAUACGUAACCACUGCUCUGAAUGGAAGACUUCGACUGGAAGACUUUUUCACAUGACCCAGGGAAAGGCACAAAGAAACAAAGCUUGUGAUGCUCUAAAAUAAUCAAUUCAUUUGGCCAACACCAUGCACAGAAUGGAAAGCUUUUGCCUCAUUUUUCUUCCCCCCGCCUUCAGAUUUUCAAAGUGUUUUAUAAAAGCAAGUGCUAAUAAACUGUGGCAUUAACUAGAGAA